GAUUAUCAGGUGAGUCCUCCAAUUCUUUCACACAUGCCUGGAACAGGUAAAAGCACUUUUGCAAAGAAACGUCGUGCAAAACGACUGAAAGUCUGUCACAGAUGUGCCAGAUGGACUUGUAAUGCGACAUGUCGUUCUUUAGGAAUGGUAUCUGUAAACCGUGAAGAUAAAUACAAUUCAUUAAGGAUGGCCUGAGUAAGGGGUCUUUAGAUAAUCUUUAUUGACCUUGAGACCCCUAGUGGAGAUGUGCAUCGUGCAAUUCAUGAUUUAUGGCCACAAUUCCAUAAAGAACAUGAUCGACUUAGUCUUGGGAAUCUGACUAAAAAAGACCCUGUUUGCCAGUUUUUAAGAAAACUGGAUGGGAAGCCUAUCCCCGACCCAUAGAGGGCGUUUAAACUAUUCUUAGACGUAAAACCAAGGAAAGAUGUGAGCCACAAUCACAACUACCUGUACAUACACUGCCUUUUCAAAAUAAAUAAAUAGAGAGAGAGAGAGAGAGACUACAGCUGGCCUACAUAUAGGUGGUAUCAUUUCAUUUUCAAUUUCUCAUCUAUAAAUUCUUCUCUUCCUUCCCUUCAUUUCUACUCAACCCAUACAUUCAUAAAAUAUAGAAGUGUGUAGAAAUGGUAGGUUCCUCAAGUCAUCACAUAAACAAUAUUUGUGUUUUCGGCGGAUCCAGUCCUGGGAAAGAAAAGGAGUUUUUAGAAUCAGCAAAUCAUCUUGGUCAGGUACUAGCUGAGCGAAAGAUUCAUUUAGUGUAUGGGGAGGCAGCCUUGGGUUAAGGGGGAGUGUCAAUAGCUGUUUUUAGGAGGUAGUCAAGUUUUGGGGGUUGUCCCCAAAGCUUUAGCACAAGGGGACAUCAUUGGAAAAACAAUUGGAGAGGAAUUACAGGUCCCACAAUGUCUGAUCGACUGAAUGCCAUGUUUAACCAUGCUGAUGCCUUCAUUGCCUUACCAGGUGGUCUGGGCACAUUGGAAGAGAUCUUUCAUAUUUCCUCUUGGGCCCAACUGCACAUUCACCAUAAACCCAUAGGUUUGUUAAAUGUUAAUGGUUUUUAUGAUAAGUUGUUGUCUUUCUUGAUCAUGCUGUGGAACAGGAAUUUCUAACAUCUUCGGCACGACAAAUCAUAAUCUCUGCUGCUACUGCUGAACAAUUGAUUGACCAACUACAAUUUUCUCAUCCCUGUAAUUAAUCCCUCCAUGAGUCCAUAAAUUGGUCAACUAAGGAAAGCCGUAAAAAGCUUAGAUUGGAUUUGAGCCUUCGUUUUGUAAAAAUUUGUGUCUUUUGGUUUUAUUAUUGUGUUUUUUGUUUCUUAUAUUUGUUUAAGUGUGUUUCAGGUUUGUCAGUGUUCGUUAUUUCAGGUGAUGUCUUCUAUACUCUAUCUUUCUACCUUAAACAUUGAGGACAAUGUCUCAUUUUGGUUGGGGGAAAGGGUAGUAGUUGAUAAAAAAAAAAAAACUGUGUUUUCUAUUCAUAAACAUUUGCAAAACUGUUGUUACUAGGAUGGCAGAGUAAAAGGAGUUCUUUUGUUAAAGUGACUCUUGAGACGCAUCUUAGUAAACAUUCUUAACAAGGUCUAUCAGCUUCUUGAAAUAUUCAGGUUUACAAACUCUCGUAUUGUUAUCACUUGAUUCUGCUCAUAUGCUCAUUUAACAAGUAUUCUUAAAUCUUCAUUUUACACACACACACUUUAACAUAUGAUUGUGGGUUGCACAUUGGAUUAUUACAUUAUUUAUGUUCUUUUGUUAAAGGUAACAACUAAGGGAAAGGAUAGUAUAAAUUUGCAAAAAAAAAAAAAAAUAUGAUGAUAAUAAAAACGUAGAUAAGUUUGGUUUCGUAGCCUCCCUAACCUAAGCAAUUAAGCCCGAAGGGGUGUUUUAACACCUAAUACCCUAAAGUCAACUGACUUGGGAGCUAUUGGCCCAAAGCUUGUUACAUGGGUUAAGGAGAAAAGCUUAAGGGAAUCAAACAUUGCACUAUCUACGUAUCAGUAUCUGCAACCCGAGUUACUAAGCUCGUAGGGGUGUCUCAACACCUAAUGCCCUAAGACCAACUGGUCUGGGAGUCAUUAGCUGAAAACUCGUUACAUGGGUUAAAGAUGCAUUGUGUUGUAUGUGUAUAUAAAUAAAAAAAAAAAAAAAAUAAUAAUCCCAACCCAAGGAAGUUAACCUUAACAUUAGAACAUAAUAUUGUUUUCUUCCAACAAAAGCCCCAUCAUCUAUGUUUUCAUACAUUGAGCACAUAAAAAGAAGGUUUAUUAAUAUCUUCUUUAAGAUAUAUUAAGCAGGAAUAUGAGUUUAAUGAGAGUUUGUUUAUCUGGAUAGAUUAAUGGAAGUUGAAUGUUGAAUGCCUUGCUUUGUGGAACUUGCAAAUUUAUUUUCUAUUUUAACGCUUUGAUUACUAGGGACUAGUAAUAAACUGGUUGAGGGGUGUGAUUAGUACUUAAAAGUGCAUGUUUAUCAAGGUUUUAUAUCAUCAUUUUGCACUUAAAGUAUCAAUAACUCCUUAACUAAAGCAUGUUUUAUAAUAACAAGUCUAAUAUAUAAAUACCUUAAUUAUGGUAAAUGUUCAUCUUAAAUGCAGGCCUAUCACAUAAAUGAAAGGAUUGAUUGAUGAGUUCAAGUAUUGAAAUUGAAAGGACAAAGAGAGGGCCAAACUUAGAAAAGAGAUGUUGGUGCAGUCCAAACUGGAACACUGUUUGGUAGUUGGGUCAUAUCUCGAGUUCUAGAUGUCCAAAUGAUCUCAAAUUUUGACACAGAUUCAGUAAGACAUAAACCUACAACUUUCAUGUGGAGGCCAAGAUCUAAGAAGACCGUUUUCAAGUCCAAAUUAUAGCAACAACAUAGAAGUUCGAAUUUGUCCUGCAGCCCAGGCACUGUUCAGUGUUCAGCCCAUAUCUCGAGUUCUAGAAGUCCAAAUGACCUCAAUUUUUUUUCCUGGAAAGUUAAGACAAUUUCCUACAACUUUUAUAAGUGUAGGUGGAUCCAGUUCUGAUGCUAGCAAUGACAAAAAGAUAAGGAUUUUCACCAAGUCAAGAGUUGGCCACCCACUCAACAAUUAGUCAUCAAAUCAAUAGUUCCAAAUUUUGCCCUAUAAAAGGAGGCAUUUGCCAUGCAUUCUGGGGCUUGGUUGUUCAAAUCAAGAACUUAUUC
Molecule: long non-coding RNA, 3152 nt
Filed under: Populus tremula
Lineage: Eukaryota; Viridiplantae; Streptophyta; Magnoliopsida; Malpighiales; Salicaceae
Description: long non-coding RNA (PTRE_LNC003299)
Source: RNAcentral